ACAACACGCUCAUAGAUAGCCAAGUGUAAGCCCUACACCAACGGCAGUGAAAAGUGUGGUCUUUGUGACAUGGAAAGAUGGCUCAUCUGGAAAAGCAGCUUAGACUCCACCACAUGUCUAAAUUCGAGAACUGAACUUUUCAGAUCAUGUCCAUACAUGGCUAAAUAU
Octopus sinensis (East Asian common octopus) is the source of this 168-nucleotide long non-coding RNA. RefSeq lists it as uncharacterized. Lineage: Eukaryota; Metazoa; Mollusca; Cephalopoda; Octopoda; Octopodidae. The record is from RefSeq and is a predicted model, not a curated record. The transcript is spliced from 3 exons.